AAGUCGUAACAAGGUUUCCGUAGGUCGCAAUAGGUUUGCCUACCGGGGCCUCGAGCCACGACGCGACAGAAAGGCUCCGCAGUCCGCCUAGUCUCUAGGCGGGCGACGCGUCCCAUCUGCCCUGGGAGCUUCGGCGACCAGCAGCCCCCCGAGGGGGGGUUCACAGAUCAGAUGUACGCGGCCACGCUCCAGUGGUACUGAUAUGACCGGCCUCGGGCUCUGGCGAGCCUGGGAAGAAAUUCGUGGAACCUGCGGAAGGAUCAUUACCGAGAGGGGCUCCGUGCCCCAGGUGGCUCCGGCCGCCGCAUCUCAACCCCGUGGCUACGUUCCGGAUCGCAAGAUCGGUACAAAGUACGUUGCUUCGGUGGGGGAAAGCCCCCGCCGGCCGCCCAACCAAACUCUUUUAUUGGUGCAGUCUGAGUACAAACCAUAAUAAAGAAAAACUUUCAACAACGGAUCUCUUGGUUCUG
This 470-nucleotide unclassified non-coding RNA is filed under the name air metagenome. RNAcentral describes it as "partial contains small subunit ribosomal RNA, internal transcribed spacer 1, and 5.8S ribosomal RNA". The record is from RNAcentral.